GUUAUCAGAGAAACCUGGAAAUCUUCAUGAAUACUACAAAAACAGCCUUCAAAGAGAAUAGUAACACAAGCAAGGCCAUUUAUGGCAAUCUGGAAAAAAUCCAGAAACUUCCUCUGCCUGAAUGCAUCUCACAGAAAUGUGACUGCCCUGAAGCCAGUCAUCAGUUCGAAAAAUUGAAAGAUGAUCUAGACACAUUUUUGCGAUGGAUUUUGAUUUGGUUUUCUCAACACAAUUGAAAAAGACAGUUCCCAGGCCACAGACAGAUCACCCUUUUACCACUGGUGAAAACAGCCUUCUCCAGACCUUGGAAUCUUUGCCUUCA
Molecule: long non-coding RNA, 322 nt
Organism: Vombatus ursinus (common wombat)
Lineage: Eukaryota; Metazoa; Chordata; Mammalia; Diprotodontia; Vombatidae
Exons: 3
Source: RefSeq, a predicted model, not a curated record